UACGGAGGGUGCGAGCGUUGUCCGGAAUCACUGGGCGUAAAGGGCGCGUAGGCGGCGCGGGCAGUCAACGGUGAAAGCUUGGGGCUCAACCCCGAGUCGGCCGUCGAUACUCCCGGGCUGGAGCACUGUAGAGGCAGGUGGAAUUCCGGGUGUAGCGGUGGAAUGCGUAGAGAUGCGGAGGAACACCGAUGGCGAAGGCAGCCCCCUGGGUUAACACUGACACUCAUGCACGAAAGCGUGGGGAGCAAACAGG
This 253-nucleotide ribosomal RNA is filed under the name uncultured bacterium. RNAcentral describes it as "partial 16S ribosomal RNA". It matches the Rfam family "Bacterial small subunit ribosomal RNA", at positions 524 to 776 of the family's 1533-position model. The record is from RNAcentral.